This 253-nucleotide unclassified non-coding RNA is filed under the name uncultured Nitriliruptoraceae bacterium. RNAcentral's name for it is "contains 16S-23S intergenic spacer region". It matches the Rfam family "Bacterial small subunit ribosomal RNA", at positions 524 to 776 of the family's 1533-position model. Lineage: Bacteria; Bacillati; Actinomycetota; Nitriliruptoria; Nitriliruptorales; Nitriliruptoraceae. The record is from RNAcentral.
UACGUAGGGGGCGAGCGUUAUCCGGAAUUAUUGGGCGUAAAGAGCAUGUAGGCGGUCCGGUAAGUCGGAUGUGAAAUCUCAGGGCUCAACCCUGAAACUGCAUCCGAUACUGUCGGACUUGAGGUAGGUAGAGGAAAGUGGAAUUUCCGGUGUAGCGGUGGAAUGCGCAGAUAUCGGAAGGAACACCGAUGGCGAAGGCAGCUUUCUGGGCCUUACCUGACGCUGAGAUGCGAAAGCAUGGGUAGCAAACAGG